Molecule: long non-coding RNA, 492 nt
Organism: Hyalella azteca
Lineage: Eukaryota; Metazoa; Arthropoda; Malacostraca; Amphipoda; Hyalellidae
Exons: 3
Source: RefSeq, a predicted model, not a curated record
AUCGACAAUUGAUCUAUCAAGGACAACGUUCAUCGACGAAACGCAGACUGAACGCGUUUUGAACUUCGUUCAGACGAGCCAGUGCAGGUAUAUAAGCAGCCCACGGGCGGGCCGAGAGGAUAUUCUCUGCCAACUCGUCCAACGACAAGCACGUGAUUCCCAGGCCUUAGCAGACGACGUUCUUUGGUGACUACUUAUUAACAAUAACCGUUAUAUAAGCAGGGAUGCCAGGCGGCGGUGGCAAAGGCGGCGGUGGUGGUGGCGGUAAAGGUGGUGGCGGCCAGGUGGCGCGGUCUUCAAGUGGCGCCGUCAAAUGCCACGGCGGCGGCGCAGUCAAGUCCAGCACCCAAGUCCGCACGUCCUACGGCCCUGGCAAUGCGUCCGUGACCACGGCCAAGACGGCCACCGUCAGGAGCGGUCCUGCUGGGGUCUCCACCACGUACAAGGCUGUGCAGACCAGCUUCAACCCCCACCAUUAAAUUGCCUGCUAGA